UGCUACACAGUAGCACAAUGGUGCUUCUUUCUCCAUAUCGUGUGGGCUUUGAUUAACAUGGCGACUGGCAUCGCCAUGUUUCAGUGAGGAUGCUUUGCCUCGACGCAACAAGUGCUCUAUAUAUACAGUUGAGUUGAGUUGAGUGUCAAAAAAAUGCCCACAAAUUUAAAGCUAGGGAAGAAAAACCUGAACGAAGCAGAGAAGAGGAUGCUGUACGCAGAACUGAUAACGGGGAUUCUUUGAAGUCGAGUCAAGAA
Long non-coding RNA from Hippocampus comes (tiger tail seahorse), 257 nucleotides. RefSeq lists it as uncharacterized. NCBI's taxonomy places the organism in Eukaryota, Metazoa, Chordata, Actinopteri, Syngnathiformes, Syngnathidae. The transcript has 2 exons. The record is from RefSeq and is a predicted model, not a curated record.